This 248-nucleotide ribosomal RNA is filed under the name uncultured Lachnospiraceae bacterium. RNAcentral describes it as "partial 16S ribosomal RNA". It matches the Rfam family "Bacterial small subunit ribosomal RNA", at positions 524 to 771 of the family's 1533-position model. The record is from RNAcentral. Lineage: Bacteria; Bacillati; Bacillota; Clostridia; Lachnospirales; Lachnospiraceae.
UACGUAGGGGGCAAGCGUUAUCCGGAUUUACUGGGUGUAAAGGGAGCGUAGACGGAGCAGCAAGUCUGAUGUGAAAGGCAGGGGCUCAACCCCUGGACUGCAUUGGAAACUGUUGGUCUUGAGUACCGGAGGGGUAAGCGGAAUUCCUAGUGUAGCGGUGAAAUGCGUAGAUAUUAGGAGGAACACCAGUGGCGAAGGCGGCUUACUGGACGGUAACUGACGUUGAGGCUCGAAAGCGUGGGGAGCAA